This 504-nucleotide ribosomal RNA is filed under the name uncultured bacterium. RNAcentral's name for it is "partial 16S ribosomal RNA". It matches the Rfam family "Bacterial small subunit ribosomal RNA", at positions 29 to 507 of the family's 1533-position model. The record is from RNAcentral.
ACGAACGCUGGCGGCUUGCCUAAUACAUGCAAGUAGAACGCACAGUUUAUACCGUAGCUUGCUACACCAUAGACUGUGAGUUGCGAACGGGUGAGUAACGCGUAGGUAACCUGCCUGGUAGCGGGGGAUAACUAUUGGAAACGAUAGCUAAUACCGCAUAAUAUUAAUUAUUGCAUGAUAAUUAAUUGAAAGGUGCAAUUGCACCACUACCAGAUGGACCUGCGUUGUAUUAGCUAGUAGGUGAGGUAACGGCUCACCUAGGCGACGAUACAUAGCCGACCUGAGAGGGUGAUCGGCCACACUGGGACUGAGACACGGCCCAGACUCCUACGGGAGGCAGCAGUAGGGAAGCUUCGGCAAUGGACGAAAGUCUGACCGAGCAACGCCGCGGGAGUGAAGAAGGGUGUCGGAUCGUAAAGCUCUGUUGUAAGAGAAGAACGGGUGUGAGAGUGGAAAGUUCACACUGUGACGGUAUCUUAACAGAAAGGGACGGCUAACUACGUG